AUGUUUGCAGGGAGAGUAAAGCACAGGACACUUCAUACAAAGGCUUCCAGGGGGUGCUUGGGUAUCCUGACUGGGGUGACUUGGAUGUACAGAGUGCUGUUAUUAGCAGUGGUAAGUCAUCAGUCUGCUAGUUUUGCUUUGGUUUUAACUUCGCUAUUGACAUAAUGUAAUAAAUAGUUCGGUUCCCUGCUACAGUCUGGUGUCCAGGUGCUGGCAUCUAAGGGUCUCAUGCAUUAUAGUGGAAAUCAUACUAAAGUUCUUAAUGUAGAAUUCCUGUGAGGUUUCCUGGCUUGUCCUUUUUCCUUUUCUGCCACAAGAUUUCAGGUACUGUUAGCCUGCAGGGCUCACUUAAGGAUAAUCCAAGGUAGUGCUUCACCAGAGACUUAAUGCUUUGUUUUGAGACCUGUGGAUAAACAGCCACAGUGGAUUUUGAAGACUUGUGUUCUAGGGAAUCGUGGAAUGUUGUAGGCUAAUACACAUAGCAGCUGUCUCCUACAGGGUUUAUAAUGAUGUUGACAAAUGUCUGACCUGAAAUCAGUAUGUGGACUACUUCAUUACUGAAAGACCCUGUAAAUGAAGUAAUACAGAAAUGAAGACACACUGUUUUACUUUAUGCAGAAUUGCUUCCUUUUUACUCCUGGAGAGCUGUCAAAAAGAAACUAAUGCUCUCACUUCUGCUUGUUAGGUCCUGGCCCUGUCUUGACUAAAUUUGGGUGAGUAUGUAUUUUUGUUUAGACCAAUAAGUUGUUAACUUGUAGCUAGUAGGAGCAUUGUUGUAACCAGUGAUGAAAUUAGAUUCUGCCAAAUGAAUGUCCGUGAUAUUACUCCUUUCCGUUCCAUUUACUCUGAGGUUACAUUCUUGCUCUGUCAGAGUUCGAAAUGGGAAAGGCAGUGUGUCC
RNAcentral lists this long non-coding RNA (899 nucleotides) under Terrapene triunguis (Three-toed box turtle). The record is from RNAcentral. Lineage: Eukaryota; Metazoa; Chordata; Testudines; Emydidae.